GGUCAUGAGUUGAUGAGAAUUUACCUCGUUGAAGAGAGAUGACAUAAAAUUCAUGCUCAAUGGGAUUAUGCUGAGGGCC
Molecule: small nucleolar RNA, 79 nt
Organism: Choloepus hoffmanni (Hoffmann's two-fingered sloth)
Lineage: Eukaryota; Metazoa; Chordata; Mammalia; Pilosa; Megalonychidae
Gene: SNORD115
Rfam family: Small nucleolar RNA SNORD115
About the family: HBII-52 is a member of the C/D class of snoRNAs, which contain the C (UGAUGA) and D (CUGA) box motifs. HBII-52 is encoded in a tandemly repeated array with another C/D snoRNA, HBII-85, in the Prader-Willi syndrome (PWS) region of chromosome 15.
Source: Ensembl